AAGUAAUCUUCCUGGGCUAUUCCCUUAGGGGCGGUAAACGAUGGCUCACUGAGCCCAGAAAACAAACUGUUGUGCAGAUACCACCCCCAUCUAACAGAGAGUUUCUUGGGACUGCUAGCUUUUGCAGGUUAUGGAUACCUGGGUUUGCGUCCUUAGCUGCUCCUUUAUACCCGCUGUUAAAGGGAGAUGCCCAAUUCCAAUGGACCCCUGAGCACCAGCAAGCUUUUGAUAACAUCAAAAGGGCGCUGCUAUCUGCUCCGGCCUUAGCACUCCCGGAUGUAGAAAAACCCUUUACUCUCUACAUUGAGGAAAAGAAAGGAAUAGCACGAGGAGUGCUCACUCAGACUCUAGGACCCUGGAAAAGACCUAUAGCCUACUUGUCUAAAAAGCUGGACCCAGUGGCUGGUGGAUGGCCCCAUUGCCUAAAAGCUAUAGCAGCUGUGGCCCUACUAAUCAAGGAUGCUGAUAAGUUAACGCUGGGGCAGAAACUAACCAUUAUAGCCCCCCAUUCCCUAGAGAGCAUCAUCCACCAGCCACCAGACAGACGGUUAUCAAACUCUAGAAUAACACACUAUCAGAGCCUGUUGCUUGACAAGGAGAGAAUAAUGCUGGGACCCCCCCGCCCCGCUUAACCCGGCUACACUACUACCUGAACAAUCAUCAGGACCCGUCACUCAUGACUGUCAACAUAUACUGGCAGAAGAAACCAGUAUACAACGGGAAUUAAAGGAUCAGCCACUGCCCCACCCUGAGGUCAUAUGGUUCACUGAUGGCAGCAGCUUCCUCCAGGACGGUAAGCAGCGGGCUGGGGCAGCAGUAGUUAGCAGAACUAAAGUCAUCUGGUCCUCAAGCCUCCUGGAGGGAACAUUAGCUCAAAAGGCAGAGCUGAUCGCCCUCACGAAGGCAUUAGAGCUAGUGGCAGGCAAAAAGGCCACCAUAUACACAGAUAGCCGCUAUGCCUUCGCUACCGCUCAUAUACACGGGGCUAUCUACCAGCAAAGGGGACUAUUAACCUCGGCGGGAAAGGAAAUAAAAAACAGAGAUGAGAUCCUCCGCCUCCUCUCAGCAGUGCAAAGCCCUAGGGAACUAGCUAUAGUGCACUGUCCAGGACACCAGAAAGGAAACGAUCCUGUAGCGGUCGGGAACAGGAGGGUGGAUGAAGAGGCUAAAUUGGCAGCCCUAAACNACUUUACUGAAAUUAAGCCAGCAAGGUAUGGACUUAAAUAUCUCCUAAUCUUUGUAGAUACAUUUUCAGGAUGGAUUGAAGCCUUCCCCACAAAAAAAGAAACAGUGCAAAUGGUGGUCAAGAAGAUCCUGGAAGAUAUUUUUCCAAGAUAUGGCCUGCCUAAGGUAAUAGGGUCUGAUAAUGGACCGGCGUUCGUGGCCCAGGUAAGUCAGGGGUUAGCCAGGACCCUGGGGAUUAAUUGGAGGUUACAUUGUGCUUAUAGACCCCAGAGCUCAGGACAGGUAGAAAGAAUGAAUAGAACCAUUAAAGAGACCUUGACGAAAUUAAGCUUGGAGACCGGCAUAAAAGAUUGGACUAUGCUCCUGCCUUAUGUUUCGUGCAAGAAAUACUCCCUCUGUUUCUUUGUGUAACCUCACCCCCUAUGAAAUUCUCUAUGGUGCCCCUCCUCCAGUAAGGGACCUAACCCCAACUCUAAGACCUGACGAUCCCUUCCACACCCCCUUGCUUGACAGACUUAAAGCUCUUGAAAAAACUCAGUGAUACCUGUGGAAACAGCUGGCCACUGCCUACAAACCUGGGGACGAAGGAACUCCACACCAAUAUCAAGUGGGAAACUUCAUCUACGUAAGACGACAUCAGGUGUCAUCCCUGGAACCCCGCUGGAAAGGACCAUACCAGGUGCUACUUAUAACACCUACAGCGGUAAAGGUAGAUGGAAUCACUUCCUGGAUCCAUGCCUCUCAUCUCAAGCCUGCGCCCUGUCCAGACUCUGGCUGGAAAUUGGAAAAGACUGGUAACCCUCUCAAAUUGCAUAUUCACUGUGUGGAUAAGGCUAUGGACUCUCCCCUUGACCACCAGUAGUCCUAACCCUCAUCAGCCCGUUCAGCAGUGAUGGCUAAUCACAAAUCCUACUGGACAAGAAGUAUGAUCUAUCUCACAUACAGCCCCCUUAGGGACCUGACGACCACCCCUCCACCCAUUCACUCCUCUCUUCUCCUGUCAGUGCCCACACCGGGUCCCACCAGGUCCUCUUACCAGCUAACCCAAAGCUCAAACCAGCUGAGGAGAGCCCUCAGACCCCUAUCCAAGAUGUAAUGAAAAUGGCCUUUAAAGUUGCUUUGUCAUCACUGAAAACAGGUUACUAAGAAUUUAAAGUCCCUCACAGGCUUUUUGGGAUACUCACUCCAGUCUUCCCUUCUGCUCUACCUGUUCUACUACUCAAGUUUUUGUUGCUAGGAAAAUCCCAAACCCCUUUCCCAUUAUCCACGGAGCUGCUCUCAGCCCCGCCUUCCCCGUCUUCCCCCUCUGUACCAGGCCCACAGAAAAGUCUUAACUGACCUUCUCCAGAAGUCUUCACCAUGGCUGACUUUAGGACUUUCAGCAAAAGAGUCCCUAUAAAAGAGUUCAGUAUAGAUAAACUUCCUCUUUUCAUGUUUCCCUGUUCUACUUGGCCACUGGCUGGAAAAUAUCAGCACUCCUAAGCUAGAUACCCCCUUACUAGUUUUUCACAAAAUAUGUGAACAAGGCCUCUGGCCUUGAGCUGGGGCUUCACAGAGAUGGCUACAUUUCUAAGAUAAAAAAGUUAUCAACUGGGCUCCAUGGUAACAGCUGGCAGGGGGAAAAAAAGAAAAGAAAAAAAAUUUUUCUCCCCCUCCCAGGUGUCCUUGAAAAGUUAACUUGCCCAGAACAGAGGAAAAAAACAGAAACAAAAACUGCUUUUUGUGAACUUCUGCAGACUGUGAACUUCUGAGCCCCUUCCCUUACAUGUUGAGUACAAAAUUCUGAAACUACCUAAACUUGGGGUUCAAAGGAUUAAUUGAUUACAACAGAAGCAAUGCCCUCUGAAUCCGGUUGCAACCAAAUAGGACUGUUUCCCUGUCUUCGGUGCUAUCUUAGGUGCCUUGCCUUGUCCGUCCCUACAACAGUAUAAUUCUAUAUACUUAAACAUUAUUUAUGUUUUCAUGAAAUGGUCAACAGAUGUGAUUAAUUGUAUAAUGGUGCAGAUGUUUCCCAGAGUGCUCUAUCAUGACACAGGUUCAUUUAAAGAUCAAAUAAGGGGACAUACAACCCGGUUCCACCGGGAACCCGUAUCCCUCACUUUAGCCAUCCUUUUAGGAAUAGGAGUUGCUGCAGGGGUGGACACAGGGACCACUGCCCUGGUCCGUGGGACACAACAAAUGACCCAAUUAGAAACAGCAAUGGACCAAAACUUAAAGAUAUUAGAAACCUCCAUCACAGCUUUGUAGGAAUCUUUAACCUCUCUCUCUGAAGUUGUUUUACAGAACAGGCGAGGGUUGAACCUCCUCUUCAUGAGAGAAGAAAGCCUUUGUGCUGCAUUGAGGGAAGGAUGUUAUUUUUAUGCCGACCAUACUGGAGUUGUAAAAGAAUCUGUGAGUAAACUAAGAAGACGCCUUGAAGAGCGUCAGAGAGGGAGAGAGGCCCAAAAAGGGUGGUAUGAGUCUUGGUUCACACAGUGCCCCUGGUUAACUACGCUUUUAUCAGCCCUGGCCGAUCCUUUAAUAAUUCUUAUAUUGUUGCUAACUCUAGGACCCUGUUUGCUCAACCGUGUAGUUUCCUUUCUCCAAGCCCAAAUUGGACAAGUCGAACUUAUGGUAAUCAGACAACAAUAUACCCCACUAGCAGACACAGAAUGUGACACCCCCCAAUGAUCACUUUUAUGAUUAAAAGUAGCCAGAAGAAGAAGUGGGGAAUGAAAGGUUAAUAAAAUAGGUACUUGCACUCCGUUUUUCUGUAUGCUUAACAAAACACUGUUGAAAUCCUGAGAACUGUUUGCUAAUCUUGUUCCCAGAAUGUGCUGUCCCCAACUGCCAAACUACAGAAUGCACUCCCUCACUCGGUUACAGGCAAACUGCCCACUCGCCCUGACCCGUCAAUGAACUUCCCUCCCUGCCCUCUCCAAGAACAGUAUAUAAGCUCUGCUUAAGCUGUUCCCAGGGCUCUAUCUCUCUUUGCUCUAGGGAGCUCUGAGCCCCAGCAUGCUGGUCCCCAAAUAAACCCUUUUGCUGUUGCAUGAGACAGUGUCUUGGUGGUCUCUUCCUCCGACGUUUCGCCGGUCCCUUACAUUUCUGUUGGACCCAGAACUGAGAGUUAAAACCUUGACUAGAGAGAGCUUCUGUGCAGCGCUUAGUGUCAGAAUAAAUUCCUCUUUUCCCUGUGUUCCAAUAGCAGCAGAUUCCACUCUUCCCACGGUAUAUCCUUUGUCUAACCUGUGCUGAGUAUCUCCAGGUUGGGGACCAUCCUGGUUCAUCUUAAUUUUCUCUCUGUUCUUGACAAGUAUAGAGUGAGCAUUUGUUGAGCUGAAGUGAGAGGGAAUUAAGUUAUUUCACAGGCUUCACAGUCCCCAGUGGAUCACACAUUUUCUGUCUAAUUAAUAAGGACUUUGGCUGCCUUGGCUACCUCUGGUACACUUGUACCUCCUGGGUCUUUGCUUUUUCUCUCUUUCUUUUUCAGUCUCUCUUUG
This 4667-nucleotide long non-coding RNA is filed under the name Marmota monax (woodchuck). The record is from RNAcentral. Lineage: Eukaryota; Metazoa; Chordata; Mammalia; Rodentia; Sciuridae.